RNAcentral lists this ribosomal RNA (386 nucleotides) under uncultured Actinomycetes bacterium. RNAcentral's name for it is "bacterial SSU rRNA". It matches the Rfam family "Bacterial small subunit ribosomal RNA", at positions 1073 to 1446 of the family's 1533-position model. Lineage: Bacteria; Bacillati; Actinomycetota; Actinomycetes. The record is from RNAcentral.
UGUUGGGUUAAGUCCCGCAACGAGCGCAACCCUCGUUCCAUGUUGCCAGCAGCGUCCUUCGGGGCGGCUGGGGACUCAUGGGAGACUGCCGGGGUCAACUCGGAGGAAGGUGGGGAUGACGUCAAGUCAUCAUGCCCCUUAUGUCCAGGGCUUCACGCAUGCUACAAUGGCCGGUACAAAGGGUUGCGAUGCCGUGAGGCGGAGCGAAUCCCAAAAAGCCGGUCUCAGUUCGGAUUGGGGUCUGCAACUCGACCCCAUGAAGUCGGAGUCGCUAGUAAUCGCAGAUCAGCAACGCUGCGGUGAAUACGUUCCCGGGCCUUGUACACACCGCCCGUCACGUCACGAAUCACAGGAAACAGCUAUGACCAUGGCCCAACCGCUUGCGG